This 301-nucleotide ribosomal RNA is filed under the name uncultured bacterium. RNAcentral's name for it is "partial 16S ribosomal RNA". It matches the Rfam family "Bacterial small subunit ribosomal RNA", at positions 509 to 809 of the family's 1533-position model. The record is from RNAcentral.
CAGCCGCCGCGGUAAUACGUAGGGUGCAAGCGUUAAUCUGAAUUACUGGGCGUAAAGCGUGCGCAGGCGGUUAUAUAAGACAGAUGUGAAAUCCCCGGGCUCAACCUGGGAACUGCAUUUGUGACUGUAUAGCUAGAGUACGGCAGAGGGGGAUGGAAUUCCGCGUGUAGCAGUGAAAUGCGUAGAUAUGCGGAGGAACACCGAUGGCGAAGGCAAUCCCCUGGGCCUGUACUGACGCUCAUGCACGAAAGCGUGGGGAGCAAACAGGAUUAGAUACCCGAGUAGUCCCUGUCUCUUAUAA